CGUAUUAUAUAUUUUUUGUGAGAAGGAAUGCAUAAAGGACAUGAAUCUCAUAGGAAGAAUGCAUUCACCAUUGUAGGAUCAAAGUUUACUCAGUUUGGGCAACUAAUUUCUCAUAUUCAUGCACCGCUCUAUUUUGUAAAUCAAACUAAUGACAGAUGCCAUAAUUAUCUAGCUAUUGGUGUCAAUUCAAAAAAAAAAAAAAAAGAAACUCUAGAUUUUUUUGCCUUUAUUUAUUUUUUCUUUUUUUUUUUGAAAACAAAGCCUUGCUUAAAGAAGGAAAGCCAAGUUAGUAUAGGUUUCCUCAAUUUAAAUCUUGGUUGAAUUUGUUUCUUCAGAUGGCUUUGUUACCUGAAGGUAUCACUGAAUUAUUGCAUCAUGAAAAGCUACUUGUUCCGAUGGUACGUGUUUGGAGCUAAAUUUUUGGCAUUUAAUAUGUGGUUCUUACUCCUUUUCUUAAAUAAUUGAAUUGAUAUGAUUCAUGAGGUUCUAGCCUGAAUUACUAGCAACUAAUGGUCUUUGCAGAUUAAGUGCCAAAAUGUAAUUAUUCUUGCGGCAACAGACAGUGCUGAGCUGGACAAGGAAUGGGAGUGUUUGACUGAACUAGGAAAAUCAUAUGGUCUGUUAGCUAUAGGGGAACCAUUUAUAUCAAGACGCUUAACAACAAAUCUUUCAGACGUACGUAUGAGGAUUUCAUAUUUUGUACUUUUCAGCUUUGGCACUUCAACUAUCUUGCCUUGUUGGUUAUAAGUGGUAGAUCUGAAGCUGUUUGCUUGCAUUAUCAACUUGUAUAAUAUUUGUGCAAUGAACUGCAGGUAGAAAUUGCUCAACCCCUAUCAAAACUUUGUCUUGAAUUUCCUGAUGUUAGUAUUGGUAUGUUCCCCUAAAAUUAUUACGUCUCAUUUCUGAAUACAAUGUCUCCCUCCCAUUCAAAACGUUUUUUUAUGUUCCUUUUGCAAUUUGAAGGGGCUUACCGCAAAUGCAGAAGAAAUGGGUCUCUAAUAAUUAAUUUUAAAGGAAAGGUAAAAAUAUAUCCAACUUACAUUUAACUUUCAUUUACAAGUUGUUCUUGUAACUAUAAGUGCUUAACAAAACUGGUUGCAGAAGCGUGCGCGGAUUGAUUUAGCUGUAGAAGCAUUAUGCAAGAUGUUCCCUUCAAUAGCAUUUACAGAAGUUAACUAAGUUGGUGGUUCUGCUUAUCUUCGAAUUGUUGAUUUUGAAGCUUCAGAGGCCGAAAGCUUAUUUCAUGUUUUCAUACUGGUUGUUCACAGCACGCAUGGAGCAGGAUGCAUCAUACGAGAUGCUGCAUCCGAAGGUAUUUAUUUUUUUUAGUAGAAGAAAAANNNNNNNNNNNNNNNNNNNNNNNNNNNNNNNNAAAAACUGAGGUAAAACCAAGUUGCUGGUGGUUCUGCUCACCUUGGCAUUGGAGCUUUAGAAACUGUAGAAGCUAAUGGCUUAUUCAGUAUUUGUACUGCUCUGCUACAUUAUGGCGUAGGAGGUCGUCUUGUAGUUGAUCUGAAAAUAAUUGGUUUCCAAACCUGGCUGAACCUAUAAACUGGUCCUGGUAUUGGGUCUGAAAUUUAAAAUUUAAUAUAUACAAUGCAUUAUUUCGAGUCUGUGCCACAAGUAAUUUUAGCAAAAAAAAAUAUAUAUAUAUAUUGAAAUAAAUAGAUGUUAUUAAAUUUUAUAACCAAAAAAGAUGGG
This 1701-nucleotide long non-coding RNA is filed under the name Manihot esculenta (cassava). Its description in RNAcentral is "long non-coding RNA (MESC_LNC007106)". Lineage: Eukaryota; Viridiplantae; Streptophyta; Magnoliopsida; Malpighiales; Euphorbiaceae. The record is from RNAcentral.